CCUGUUAACAGUACCUGCAGUUGGAGCUGUGCGGCUACCUCAUUUGAAACUGAUAGGAGCUUCCUGCAAAACUUGCACCUGACUGAGUUAAUAAUGGGAUACCAGAAUCCAGCUCAGGCCAGUGCCACAACCAGCAAUAAAUGGUUGUAUGGGUACGAAAUGUGGUCUAUUUACAAUGAGUCUUCAUCAGUAUGGAAUGUCCGAACCCUGCUUCCCUCAGUCUUCAACAUGACUGUUUACUGUCACCCUGGCAACGAGGUCCAGACUUCCUCUUCUGUCUUCUUCUCACCUGUUCUCCACCCCUCUCCUCCUGGUUCUUCCUUUCUAUUCCUGCUUCCUCUCCUGGUCCACAGGUUGUCCUGUCCUGUCCCCGCGCUCUCUUACUCAUUUCCCCCCAUGGCUAGUCCAGCUUGCUUAAAAUAAAUAAUAAUAUAAAUGGCUAAUUCCCCAGUACAGUACUAAUAGAGCUCCAUUGAUUUUCUGGUCCAGUCAGAGAGACUAAGAGGAAAUGAAACCAAGUUUAAGACAUAAAUAUAAAUAAUGUUAUAAUAAACUUAAUAAAAGAUUAUUUUGGGAAAACAUCCAUGGCUGGAGCCUCAUAAGCUGCCACCUCGCUCCGCCUAUCCUCUCCUCCCUCCAUCCCUGUUUGAAAGACAACAGAGCAGAACGGCAGCGAGUGGCAGCCUGAAAUACAGCUCAUUUGUCAGUGACACGGGAAUGCUUUGACCUUCCCAAGACAGGCAGGCAUUGCCAACUCAGCAGUUUCUCUUUCUAGUCGAAUUACAGUCGUCAUUCGCAUGAGCGAGACUGGCUCCCCUCGUUUAUACGGCCGAGAAGCGCGGCAGACACAACACGCAGCUUAACCAUGACGUGUUAUUUAUUUAUUUAUUAAUUUGGGUGUGUGUGUCUGUGAGUGUACUGUCACUUUUGUCUUCCUUUUACUUGGUAGUUUUGUGUAUUUACUAGCUUUUGACAUGCUGUUUGUGUUAUGCAUAGUUGUUGGCAGCACUGGAGCGAAUGUGCAGACUGUAACUGGGUUGACUGAAACUUAAAGUUGAAUAAAUAACAGGUGACAGGUGUGCAUAAUGAGCUUUCAGUCUCUAU
Molecule: long non-coding RNA, 1104 nt
Organism: Seriola aureovittata
Lineage: Eukaryota; Metazoa; Chordata; Actinopteri; Carangiformes; Carangidae
Exons: 4
Source: RefSeq, a predicted model, not a curated record